RNAcentral lists this ribosomal RNA (253 nucleotides) under uncultured bacterium. RNAcentral's name for it is "partial 16S ribosomal RNA". It matches the Rfam family "Bacterial small subunit ribosomal RNA", at positions 524 to 776 of the family's 1533-position model. The record is from RNAcentral.
GACGAAGGAUGCAAGCGUUAUCCGGAUUCAUUGGGUUUAAAGGGCGCGUAGGCGGUCUUGUAAGUCAGUGGUGAAAUCUCGCAGCUUAACUGCGAAACUGCCAUUGAUACUGCUUGACUAGAGUAUAGAUGCUGUGGGCGGAAUAUGACAUGUAGUGGUGAAAUACAUAGAGAUGUCAUAGAACACCGAUUGCGAAGGCAGCUCACAAAACUAUAACUGACGCUGAGGCUCGAAAGUGUGGGGAUCAAACAGG